GGGGUUGUAGCUCAGUGGUAAAGCACUUGCCUCGAACGCAUGAGGCCCUGAGUUCAAUCCUCAGCACCACA
This 71-nucleotide transfer RNA is filed under the name Marmota monax (woodchuck). RNAcentral describes it as "tRNA.Ser". It matches the Rfam family "tRNA". From Rfam's summary of the family: Transfer RNA (tRNA) molecules are approximately 80 nucleotides in length. Their secondary structure includes four short double-helical elements and three loops (D, anti-codon, and T loops). Lineage: Eukaryota; Metazoa; Chordata; Mammalia; Rodentia; Sciuridae. The record is from RNAcentral.